Molecule: ribosomal RNA, 473 nt
Filed under: uncultured bacterium
Lineage: Bacteria
Description: bacterial SSU rRNA
Rfam family: Bacterial small subunit ribosomal RNA
Source: RNAcentral
CUCUGUGACUCUUACGGGAGGCAGCAGUGGGGAAUAUUGCACAUGGGGGAAACCCUGAUGCAGCCAUGCCGCGUGUGUGAAGAAGGCCUUCGGGUUGUUAAAGCACUUUCAGUUAGGGAGGAAGGUAGUGUAGUUAACACCUGCACUAUUUGACGUUACCUACAGAAGAAGCACCGGCUAACUCCGUGCCAGCAGCCGCGGUAAUACGGAGGGUGCGAGCGUUAAUCGGAAUUACUGGGCGUAAAGCGCAUGCAGGCGGCCUGUUAAGUCAGAUGUGAAAGCCCGGGGCUUAACCUCGGAAUUGCAUUUGAAACUGGCAGGCUAGAGUCUUGUAGAGGGGGUAGAAUUUCAGGUGUAGCGGUGAAAUGCGUAGAGAUCUGAAGGAAUACCAGUGGCGAAGGCGGCCCCCUGGACAAAGACUGACGCUCAGAUGCGAAAGCGUGGGGAGCAAACAGGAUUAGAUACCCUGGUAG